AUACGGAGGGUGCGAGCGUUAAUCGGAAUUACUGGGCGUAAAGGGUGCGUAGGCGGCUUGAUAGGUCGGAUGUGAAAGCCCCGGGCUUAACCUGGGAAUUGCAUUCGAUACUGUCAGGCUUGAGUAUGUCAGAGGUUGGCGGAAUUCCUGGUGUAGCGGUGAAAUGCGUAGAUAUCAGGAGGAACACCAGUGGCGAAGGCGGCUAACUGGGGCAAUACUGACGCUGAGGCACGAAAGCGUGGGGAGCAAACAGGAUUAGAAACCCUAGUAGUCC
This 274-nucleotide ribosomal RNA is filed under the name uncultured bacterium. RNAcentral describes it as "partial 16S ribosomal RNA". It matches the Rfam family "Bacterial small subunit ribosomal RNA", at positions 523 to 796 of the family's 1533-position model. The record is from RNAcentral.